Molecule: long non-coding RNA, 571 nt
Filed under: Cricetulus griseus (Chinese hamster)
Lineage: Eukaryota; Metazoa; Chordata; Mammalia; Rodentia; Cricetidae
Description: lncRNA (ENSCGRG00000025843.1)
Source: RNAcentral
GAAAAUAAUGCUUUUAAAACAACAUUUUUCUUUAGAUUUUUACCUAUGAUGGUGCCUUUCUUAACAAAUGAACGUAGUUUUACUUAGUGAAUCAGGACAUUUGACGUUUUAAAGAGAGAACUUUAGAACCAUAAAAACCACAAAGUCAUCUAAUAAACAUCAUAAGCUAUUGCACAAAGUGAGGACAAAAUGAAGUCAAAGUGGAGUUUAGACAUACUGAUGCAACACGAAUUCCCUAUGAGUCAUAAAGGAAGCUGGGGACAAGUCCUACCAACAUGACAUCAGUGAGUCCACACUUCCGUCUUGCCACAAAGUCCACAGUGAUUCUCUAACCCUGAAUGCUAAGAAAUACUACAUUAUAGAUUCUGACUGCAACCGACGCCUCUACCUCAUAACUGCUAUGGUAAACCUCAAACAGGAAAAUUCUGGAGCAUGUCCCUGUGUCCUCUGAAGUCACCUUCCCUGUUCGUGCAAGAAGAAGCCGGGCACCUCCUUUUUGGUAAAUGAUUCUCCCAAGUGAUGUAACAGGUAGGUUUCUCUAGCAGGUUACCUCUGGACUUCUUGGCAAGUA